GGCCCCUUCGUCUAAUGGCUUAGGAUAGGUGGUUCUCAGCCAUCUGAUGCGGGUUCGAUUCCCGCAGGGGCUG
RNAcentral lists this transfer RNA (73 nucleotides) under bacterium. Its description in RNAcentral is "tRNA-Glu". It matches the Rfam family "tRNA". Rfam says of the family: Transfer RNA (tRNA) molecules are approximately 80 nucleotides in length. Their secondary structure includes four short double-helical elements and three loops (D, anti-codon, and T loops). The record is from RNAcentral.